GACGAACGCUGGCGGCGUGCUUAACACAUGCAAGUCGAACGGAAAGGCCCUGCUUGCAGGGUACUCGAGUGGCGAACGGGUGAGUAACACGUGGGUUAUCUGCCCUGCACUUCGGGAUAAGCCUGGGAAACUGGGUCUAAUACCGGAUAGGAGCCAUUUUUAGUGUGAUGGUUGGAAAGUUUUUUCGGUGUAGGAUGAGCUCGCGGCCUAUCAGCUUGUUGGUGGGGUAAUGGCCUACCAAGGCGGCGACGGGUAGCCGGCCUGAGAGGGUGGACAGCCACAUAGGGACUGAGAUACGGCCCAGACUCCUACGGGAGGCAGCAGUGGGGAAUAUUGCACAAUGGGCGCAAGCCUGAUGCAGCGACGCCGCGUGGGGGAUGACGGCCUUCGGGUUGUAAACUCCUUUCGCUAGGGACGAAGCUUUUUGUGACGGUACCUAGAUAAGAAGCACCGGCUAACUACGUG
Molecule: ribosomal RNA, 465 nt
Filed under: uncultured bacterium
Lineage: Bacteria
Description: partial 16S ribosomal RNA
Rfam family: Bacterial small subunit ribosomal RNA
Source: RNAcentral